RNAcentral lists this ribosomal RNA (465 nucleotides) under uncultured Klebsiella sp. RNAcentral describes it as "bacterial SSU rRNA". It matches the Rfam family "Bacterial small subunit ribosomal RNA", at positions 338 to 795 of the family's 1533-position model. The record is from RNAcentral. Lineage: Bacteria; Pseudomonadati; Pseudomonadota; Gammaproteobacteria; Enterobacterales; Enterobacteriaceae.
CCUACGGGGGGCUGCAGUGGGGAAUAUUGCACAAUGGGCGCAAGCCUGAUGCAGCCAUGCCGCGUGUGUGAAGAAGGCCUUCGGGUUGUAAAGCACUUUCAGCGGGGAGGAAGGCGGUGAGGUUAAUAACCUCAUCGAUUGACGUUACCCGCAGAAGAAGCACCGGCUAACUCCGUGCCAGCAGCCGCGGUAAUAAGGAGGGUGCAAGCGUUAAUCGGAAUUACUGGGCGUAAAGCGCACGCAGGCGGUCUGUCAAGUCGGAUGUGAAAUCCCCGGGCUCAACCUGGGAACUGCAUUCGAAACUGGCAGGCUAGAGUCUUGUAGAGGGGGGUAGAAUUCCAGGUGUAGCGGUGAAAUGCGUAGAGAUCUGGAGGAAUACCGGUGGCGAAGGCGGCCCCCUGGACAAAGACUGACGCUCAGGUGCGAAAGCGUGGGGAGCAAACAGGAUUAGAUACCCGAGUAGUC